GCCUGGGUGGCUCAGUGGUUGAGCGUCUGCCUUCAGCUCAGGGCGUGGUCCCGAGGUCCUGGGAUCGAGUCCCACAUCAGGCU
This is a non-coding RNA of Canis lupus familiaris (dog), 83 nucleotides long. The record is from Rfam. Lineage: Eukaryota; Metazoa; Chordata; Mammalia; Carnivora; Canidae.